This 400-nucleotide ribosomal RNA is filed under the name uncultured bacterium. Its description in RNAcentral is "bacterial SSU rRNA". It matches the Rfam family "Bacterial small subunit ribosomal RNA", at positions 355 to 770 of the family's 1533-position model. The record is from RNAcentral.
UCAAGAAUCUUCCACAAUGGCCGAAAGGCUGAUGGAGCGACGUCGCGUGUAUGAAGACGCCCUUCGGGGUGUAAAGUGCUUUUCUCUGGGAAGAAACAAUGACGGUACCAGAGGAAUAAGGAGCUGCUAACCUCGUGCCAGCAGCAGCGGUAAUACGAGGGCUCCGAGCGUUAUCCGGAUUCAUUGGGCGUAAAGCGCGGGUAGGCGGUUCGCCGCAUCUUCUGUUAAAUCUUCGGGCUCAACCCGGGGGCUGCGGAAGAGAUGGGCGGACUCGAGACAGGAAGAGGCAAGCGGAAUUGCUGGUGUAGGGGUUAAAUCCGUUAAUAUCAGCAGGAACACCAAAUGUGAAGACAGCUUGCUGGGACUGUUCUGACGCUGAACUGCGAAAGCGUGGGGAGCG